CCUACGGGCGGCAGCAGUAGGGAAUCUUUCACAAUGGGCGAAAGCCUGAUGGAGCAACGCCGCGUGCAGGAUGAAGGCCUUCGGGUUGUAAACUGCUUUUAUAAGCGAGAAAUAUGAUGGUAACUUAUGAAUAAGGAUCGGCUAACUACGUGCCAGCAGCCGCGGUCAUACGUAGGAUCCGAGCAUUAUCCGGAGUGACUGGGUGUAAAGAGUUGCGUAGGUGGCAUAAUAAGUAGCUAGUGAAAUCUGGUGGCUCAACCAUUCAGACUAUUAGCUAAACUGUUAAGCUCGAGACCGUUAGGGGUAACUGGAAUGUCUAGUGUAGGAGUGAAAUCCGUAGAUAUUAGAAGGAACACCAAUAGCGUAGGCAGGUUGCUGGGACGGGUCUGACACUAAGGCACGAAAGCGUAGGGAGCAAACGGGAUUAGAUACCCGAGUAGUC
Molecule: ribosomal RNA, 442 nt
Filed under: uncultured bacterium
Lineage: Bacteria
Description: partial 16S ribosomal RNA
Rfam family: Bacterial small subunit ribosomal RNA
Source: RNAcentral